AAUCCUUUCAUCAAUGGUUAACUGCAUUGGAGCUUGUUGUGCAAUUGCCUAAAGUAACUAGGAAAAUAAAACUAACAUUCACAUUUUAACGAAAAUGUACAGCACUGAAGAGGCUUUCAGGGUAGGGCAUAGCUGCAAUACCUGAGCGUUCCCUAGGUUUCCAACCUUAGAUGCUAUCACAAUGGGGGAACCUGGUGUGCUGACUCUAAGGAACAGUACGGAGCAUAGAGAGGAGUAGAGACACCACAGCCAGGCUCUGUGACCAGGUGGGGACUCGAUUGUUCUUGUGCACACCGAGACUGAUAAGCUGCACUUUUUGCUAUCCUGAGCCAACGUUCUGUCAUGUUUUGACAAAUGCUGUACUCUAGUGUACUUUUGCUCAUUAUAAUAUCAUUAUAAUACCAAAAAAACACCCCCAUCCCAAAAGCCACUUGCCUCCAAGGUGUGACCACCCCUCACUGAGCAUGCGCUCUGAAUUUCUCGGAGACUAUACCUUUAAACAGAGACGGGAAAACUUUUCACCAAUCAUAACUAAGAUAUGCUUGACUAGAGUCACUCAAGCUCCACCA
Molecule: long non-coding RNA, 569 nt
Organism: Oxyura jamaicensis (ruddy duck)
Lineage: Eukaryota; Metazoa; Chordata; Aves; Anseriformes; Anatidae
Exons: 3
Source: RefSeq, a predicted model, not a curated record